GAUGAACGCUGGCGGCGUGCCUAAUACAUGCAAGUCGAGCGAAUGGAUUAAGAGCUUGCUCUUAUGAAGUUAGCGGCGGACGGGUGAGUAACACGUGGGUAACCUGCCCAUAAGACUGGGAUAACUCCGGGAAACCGGGGCUAAUACCGGAUAACAUUUUGAACCGCAUGGUUCGAAAUUGAAAGGCGGCUUCGGCUGUCACUUAUGGAUGGACCCGCGUCGCAUUAGCUAGUUGGUGAGGUAACGGCUAACCAAGGCAACGAUGCGUAGCCGACCUGAGAGGGUGAUCGGCCACACUGGGACUGAGACACGGCCCAGACUCCUACGGGAGGCAGCAGUAGGGAAUCUUCCGCAAUGGACGAAAGUCUGACGGAGCAACGCCGCGUGAGUGAUGAAGGCUUUCGGGUCGUAAAACCCUGUUGUUAGGGAAGAACAAGUGCUAGUUGAAUAAGCUGGCACCUUGACGGUACCUAACCAGAAAGCCACGGCUAACUACGUGCCAGCAGCCGCAGUAA
This 515-nucleotide ribosomal RNA is filed under the name uncultured bacterium. Its description in RNAcentral is "partial 16S ribosomal RNA". It matches the Rfam family "Bacterial small subunit ribosomal RNA", at positions 28 to 523 of the family's 1533-position model. The record is from RNAcentral.